Molecule: small RNA, 2453 nt
Filed under: Rattus norvegicus (Norway rat)
Lineage: Eukaryota; Metazoa; Chordata; Mammalia; Rodentia; Muridae
Description: uncharacterized LOC102551515
Source: RNAcentral
UGUUCCCUUAGCAAUUUAUUUCUGAUAUUCUUGGGAAUAGGGUAGACUGUAGCACAAGGGGGGAGCUUCCUGGAAGUUCCUAUGGUGCCACAGAGACGAAGGCUAUUAAUUCCAGCUGGGAGUAUCAGCCCCCAUAUUGCUGCAGACUGGAAAAUUACACCACACACAAACCCUGUCUUUGGAGCCAGGCCCGGCAGCUGGGAAGAUGGUCCCUAGGCCCCUUUCAAUUGUAUAAGAGCGGGCCUCCGAAAGGCAACACCCAAACAAAACAAGACAAGACAAGGCCAAAGCCCUCAUACUGAGACUGAACAAGGCAACCCAAUAGGAGAAGAGUCCCCAAACCAGACCAAAGAGUCAGAAAUACACCUGCUUCAACUCUUAGAAGUCUCACAGAGAUGCCAAGGCACAGCCAUAACAUGCAGAAAGGACAUGGGACAGACUCAUGCAGGCUCCGUGCUUGGUCCACCAGUCUCUGGCUGGUUCCUCAAUCUACAUCACCCAGCGGCCAGAUUUACAGAAAUCAAAUGUAACUGAUACUGAAGAUGGUUGAGUGGAAUGGACUGCUUUGGAAAGGAAAGAAGAAAUUAAGUAUCCAGUGAUACCAAAAUUAUGCAUGAAACCCAACACACACACACACACACACACACACACACACACACAAACACACACACACAAACAAACACACACCCCACUCUGAAAAGGUUGGACAGUUAAACUAUCGUAAGAAUAGACACGAAAUAUUGCAUGGGGAGUUGGAGGCAAGAAGCACACAGAGACAUAAUGCACUGCAAAUGAAAGUCAUUUAUAAAGUGCAACAGGUACCCGAUAGAAGGAAAAUGAUUAGUCAGCAGAAGUGGGUGGCCUGUUACCUAUUCACAGGGUAUUGGCAUGGGACAAGAGAGAAUGUGUUUAUUGGGGACUUGCUGAUGUACAAGCAUUAAUGCUAGGCACUGAGGACACUAGGCUAAAUCGUUUGCCUGAAAAUAAUUUUUUUCUCAGUCCUGUAGUCACCUCUGGCAUUCUUUUUUUUAGGAAAUAUGUCCUCUCACAAGAUAGAAUCUUCAGCUCUGGGGCUGCCUCUGAUGGCUCUGUGACCAUGCAGGGCAGUGGAGCUUUCCUGAAGAGGUCACCACAAUCCUCCAGAGCUCACACAGCAUGGCCACCUCUGCUUUAUAGUGCUAACAGGGUCUCUGUGUUGGGCUUUUGCUCUGCCUGUUCAUAGUGGCUGAGAAUUCCAUGUCUGGGAUGCCCAAGGAGCUUGGAGGGCUCCGUUCAUCUCUCAGUCCCAAAGACAACUAGGCGUCAGCAAGCAGAACCUUUACUGAUGCCAAAUGAAUGGACACAUCUGGGAGGAAAAGUGAAUGAAGCCAGAGAAGGUACAGGGUAAGAUGAGACCUCCAUCGGGGAAAACCGAACAGUAUGCAGUGUGGGUGGGGAGAGGUGGAGGGAGAGACACAGAAACCUGCCCUGCUCAGACUGCAGACAGAGCAUGGGAAGCUUUAAGGGGCAGAAUGAGACAAUAUGCAGGACAUUCGAAAUGGUGCCUGGCACCUGGGAAACACUUCAAUAAUGUGAGGUUGAUUACUGCUACCUUUAUAUUAUGAGAAAUAUUAACAAUUUGUAUGUUUCUAGUUACUUUUCAUUAUCAAGGUGGCGUUUCUGAAUUUUAGAAUCAUCCCAAAAGCUUGUUGUUGCCAAGAGCUUGCUUUCUGAAUCUGUUAAAAAAAUAAAAAGCACAAGUAAGCCUCACAGGAUGGAUCACGACAGCACAAACUAAAAUCACCAUCACAUGGACGCUUUCUGAGAUCAAGGACACAGCCUGGUUCCAGGGAGCUUGAGAGAGACCUUGCCUAUGCUUCCCCAAUACAAUAAGGUCAUGGUGUCUGCAUCCCAGGGCACUGCGAGCUGCUUCUGAACUUUGCAAUGGGUGAUACGGCGCAACUCUGGGAAGUAUCCGAGUGGACCUGGAGAAGCUUGAGGUGCCAGAGACAGAAUUCCAUAGCAAACAUAACAGAAGCAACAGCAACAGUGGCUUGCCUGAGUCCCUACAAAAGAGGAGGUACCAGACCCAAGCUCCCCAAAACCACAACACAGUGGCAACUGGGUGUUUCUUUGUUUUGUUUCAUUUUUUGUUUUUUGUUAUCGUUGUUGUUUUUGUUGUUGUUGUUGUUUUGUUUCUUUCCUACCUGGCCAGUUUGCUUUUUUCCUCUUUGCUAACAGCAUUGCCAAGCAUUCUUUUCAGAGGCAGAGGUUUCUCAUUUCUAGAACGUGUUUUGGAUACAGCUGACUGAGCCUAACCUCACAGUAAAGCAUAGGACUCAGCCCUGCCCAUUGGUACUGACUUCAGAAAGGCCCGAAAGAACAUGUGACCCGAGUAAAAAAUCAAUCAGAUUCUGCUAUAGGAUGCUGCUGAAAUGGUUGUUCAUAGAUAACCUCAUUUUCUUUUUUUCCUU